RNAcentral lists this long non-coding RNA (898 nucleotides) under Ananas comosus (pineapple). RNAcentral describes it as "long non-coding RNA (ACOM_LNC019441)". The record is from RNAcentral. Lineage: Eukaryota; Viridiplantae; Streptophyta; Magnoliopsida; Poales; Bromeliaceae.
AAUUAUAUAUAGAGAGAGUUCGGUUACUAUACUGUUAUUAGUAUAGACCCCUUUAUACUCAUGUGACAGCACCGUUUGGAUCGGGGAUAAGGGGAGGGAUAACCUCUUAUCCCCCCCUUUAUACCCAAACGUAAAUUUUUUACGCGAGAAUAAUAGUUCUCAUGUACCUUAAAUAAGCUGGUAUAACUAUCCCCACCAACACCUUCAUUUUCUAUAUAUAACUACCCACUAUUUUUCUUAUCCCAUAUUAUCUAUCCAAACGCUAUUUUUUUUUAUUCCCGCGAAUAACCAAAUUUUCAUCCAAACGCUAUUUUUUUUAUCCCCAUGCUUGUACCUAUCCCUGUAAUAGCUAGUUCUUACUUAUACCCGAACCAAACGCUAUAAGUUUUUGAUUGUUAGAUCUAUACUUUUGACCAUUUCCAUCCGUAAAUCAUACUAUUCAACUAACCACCCAUUCAAUCAUAGGGGACCAGUAUCAUCCUAAUUGCACAUCCAACGGUCGAAAAUUUAUGAGUAUAAUAGAGUCUAUACUCAUAAGAGUAUUAUAGCCUUAGCUUAUAUAUAUAGAAUUAGGCUACUAUACUAUUAAUAGUAUCAACUGCUUGUUAUUAGGUUUCGGCCCUUGAAUGAAGGGAUGUGUGGUCAGGAUGAUAGCUAGGGUUGAGGAGGUGGCAAGUUGAAUUGCAUGAUCUUACGGAUGAAAAUAGCCAAAAGGAUAGAUCUAAUAGCAGAAAACUCGAUAGAACCAAACACUUGGUACUAUCAAUAGUAUAGGAGCCGGACUCUCUAUAUUUAGGUAGAUCUAACGACAAAAAACUCUAUAGCACAAAAUGAUCGGUACUAUAGAUAGUAUAAUAGCCGGACUAUAUAUAUAGAGAGAGAUAGAGUCCGGCUACUA